Non-coding RNA from Pelobates cultripes (western spadefoot toad), 355 nucleotides. The record is from the annotation of a GenBank genome assembly. NCBI's taxonomy places the organism in Eukaryota, Metazoa, Chordata, Amphibia, Anura, Pelobatidae.
GUGACCGUUGCGGAGGAUGAGGAUGAGGUGGCCAACAUUGUUUUUAUAAAUAUACAUAUAUAUAUUAUAUAUAUUUUAAUUGGGGUAGCCCCCAAAAUAUUGGGACAUAUAAAAAAAGACAACUCUGUUCCACAGGGUAGCUGUUGACAUUAUAGUUGCGCAGGAACUUUGUUGACUCUAGGGAACCUCGGGCAAAUCGCACAUCCCCAUGGUGGCGACUUUGCAUGCAGAUGUCAUCCAUAUCAACUUUUGAUGCCAGUUUCUGCGCCUACCAUGGUGACCACGGGUAACGGGGAAUCAGGGUUCCAUUCUUUACAGGGACCCUGAGAAACGACUACCACAUGCAAGAAAGGCA